GAUAUACUCCCUCCGUUCGGAAUUACUUGUCGCAAAAAUGGAUGUAUCUAGACGUAUUUUAGUUCUAGGUACAUCCAUUUCCAAGACAAGUAGUUCCGAACGGAGGGAGUACAUC
Non-coding RNA from Triticum aestivum (bread wheat), 115 nucleotides. Lineage: Eukaryota; Viridiplantae; Streptophyta; Magnoliopsida; Poales; Poaceae. The record is from Rfam.